GAUGAACGCUGGCGGCGUGCCUAAUACAUGCAAGUCGAGCGAACGGACGAGAAGCUUGCUUCUCUGAUGUUAGCGGCGGACGGGUGAGUAACACGUGGAUAACCUACCUAUAAGACUGGGAUAACUUCGGGAAACCGGAGCUAAUACCGGAUAAUAUUAUGAACCGCAUGGUUCAAAAGUGAAAGACGGUCUUGCUGUCACUUAUAGAUGGAUCCGCGCUGCAUUAGCUAGUUGGUAAGGUAACGGCUUACCAAGGCAACGAUGCAUAGCCGACCUGAGAGGGUGAACGGCCACACUGGAACUGAGACACGGUCCAGACUCCUACGGGAGGCAGCAGUAGGGAAUCUUCCGCAAUGGGCGAAAGCCUGACGGAGCAACGCCGCGUGAGUGAUGAAGGUCUUCGGAUCGUAAAACUCUGUUAUUAGGGAAGAACAUAUGUGUAAGUAACUGUGCACAUCUUGACGGUACCUAAUCAGAAAGCCACGGCUAACUACGUG
RNAcentral lists this ribosomal RNA (497 nucleotides) under uncultured bacterium. RNAcentral describes it as "partial 16S ribosomal RNA". It matches the Rfam family "Bacterial small subunit ribosomal RNA", at positions 28 to 507 of the family's 1533-position model. The record is from RNAcentral.